This is a small nuclear RNA of Callithrix jacchus (white-tufted-ear marmoset), 109 nucleotides long. NCBI's taxonomy places the organism in Eukaryota, Metazoa, Chordata, Mammalia, Primates, Cebidae. The record is from Ensembl.
GUGUUGUAUGAAAGGAGAGAAAGUUAUCACUUUCCUUGACAAAGAUGGAAGAGGCCCUCAGGCCUGACAACACACAUACGGUUUAAAAAUCUAUUUAAAAUUUUUUUUU